RNAcentral lists this ribosomal RNA (458 nucleotides) under uncultured bacterium. RNAcentral describes it as "partial 16S ribosomal RNA". It matches the Rfam family "Bacterial small subunit ribosomal RNA", at positions 28 to 507 of the family's 1533-position model. The record is from RNAcentral.
GAUAAACGCUGGCGGCGUGCAUGAGACAUGCAAGUCGAACGAAGGAUCGGGCUUGCUCGAUCCUUAGUGGCGGACGGCUGAGUAACGCGUAGGUGACCUACCCCGAAGUGGGGAACAACUGCCCGAAAGGGUGGCUAAUACCGCAUGUGGUCGCACGUUCAUUCGUGCGAGUAAAGCCGCAAGGCGCUUCGGGAGGGGCCUGCGUCCGAUUAGCUCGUUGGUGGGGUAAUGGCUUACCAAGGCGACGAUCGGUAGGUGGUCUGAGAGGACGAUCACCCAGACUGGGACUGAGACACGGCCCAGACUCCUACGGGAGGCAGCAGUCGGGAAUUUUGCUCAAUGGGGGAAACCCUGAAGCAGCAACGCCGCGUGAGGGAUGAAGGCCUUCGGGUUGUAAACCUCUUUUGUCAGGGACGAUGAUGACGGUACCUGGCGAAUAAGCCACGGCUAACUACGUG